UAUGGGAGAAGAAGGUACUGGACCUAUUAU
RNAcentral lists this non-coding RNA (30 nucleotides) under Mus musculus (house mouse). Lineage: Eukaryota; Metazoa; Chordata; Mammalia; Rodentia; Muridae. The record is from RNAcentral.